Molecule: ribosomal RNA, 852 nt
Filed under: uncultured fungus
Lineage: Eukaryota; Fungi
Description: SSU rRNA
Rfam family: Eukaryotic small subunit ribosomal RNA
Source: RNAcentral
CGGUAAUUCCAGCUCCAAUAGCGUAUAUUAAAGUUGUUGUGGUUAAAAAGCUCGUAGUCGAACCUUGGGCCUGGCUGGCCGGUCCCCCUCACCGGGUGCACUGAUCCAGCCGGGCCUUUCCCUCUGUGGAACCCCAUGGCCUUCACUGGCUGUGCGGGGGAAACAGGACUUUUACUGUGAAAAAAUUAGAGUGCUCCAGGCAGGCCUAUGCUCGAAUACAUUAGCAUGGAAUAAUAGAAUAGGACGUGUGGUUCUAUUUUGUUGGUUUCUAGGACCGCCGUAAUGAUUAAUAGGGACAGUCGGGGGCAUCAGUAUUCAGUUGUCAGAGGUGAAAUUCUUGGAUCUACUGAAGACUAACUACUGCGAAAGCAUUUGCCAAGGAUGUUUUCAUUGAUAAGGAACGAAAGUUAGGGGAUCGAAGACGAUCAGAUACCGUCGUAGUCUUAACUAUAAACUAUGCCGACUAGGGAUCGGACGAUGUUAUUAUUUGACGCGUUCGGCACCUUUCGAGAAAUCAAAGUGCUUGGGCUCCAGGGGGAGUAUGGUCGCAAGGCUGAAACUUAAAGAAAUUGACGGAAGGGCACCACCAGGGGUGGAACCUGCGGCUUAAUUUGACUCAACACGGGGAAACUCACCAGGUCCAGACACAGUGAGGAUUGACAGAUUGAGAGCUCUUUCUUGAUUCUGUGGGUGGUGGUGCAUGGCCGUUCUUAGUUGGUGGAGUGAUUUGUCUGCUUAAUUGCGAUAACGAACGAGACCUUAACCUGCUAAAUAGCCCGUACUGCUCUGGCAGUUCGCUGGCUUCUUAGAGGGACUAUCGGCUCAAGCCGAUGGAAGUUUGAGGCAAUAACA